AACGAACGCUGGCGGCAUGCCUAACACAUGCAAGUCGAACGAGACCUUCGGGUCUAGUGGCGCACGGGUGCGUAACGCGUGGGAACCUGCCCUUAGGUUCGGAAUAACUCCCCGAAAGGGGUGCUAAUACCGGAUAAUGUCUUCGGACCAAAGAUUUAUCGCCUUUGGAUGGGCCCGCGUUGGAUUAGCUAGUUGGUAGGGUAAAAGCCUACCAAGGCGACGAUCCAUAGCUGGUCUGAGAGGAUGAUCAGCCACACUGGGACUGAGACACGGCCCAGACUCCUACGGGAGGCAGCAGUGGGGAAUAUUGGACAAUGGGCGAAAGCCUGAUCCAGCAAUGCCGCGUGAGUGAUGAAGGCCUUAGGGUUGUAAAGCUCUUUUACCCGGGAUGAUAAUGACAGUACCGGGAGAAUAAGCCCGGGCUAACUCCGUG
RNAcentral lists this ribosomal RNA (433 nucleotides) under uncultured bacterium. RNAcentral's name for it is "partial 16S ribosomal RNA". It matches the Rfam family "Bacterial small subunit ribosomal RNA", at positions 29 to 507 of the family's 1533-position model. The record is from RNAcentral.